RNAcentral lists this long non-coding RNA (810 nucleotides) under Bos taurus (domestic cattle). RNAcentral describes it as "long non-coding RNA NONBTAT022099". The record is from RNAcentral. Lineage: Eukaryota; Metazoa; Chordata; Mammalia; Artiodactyla; Bovidae.
AUUUUCCUUUUAGCUUAAUAAGCAUUCUUUGUAACUUCUGGGCUCCUUUUAUAUUUCUCAGUUGUAUAAAGGAUAUAUACAUAUGUAACAUAGCAAUCUGGCCCAGAAAAGCACAGCAGUCUUAACUUCAGCUCCAUCAGAGAACAUCACCUUAAAGAAAUGGCCUCUCAGAAAUAAACCUUAAAAAAAGCACAAUUAUUAAAAUAGAUCCAAUGUUAGGUUAUUUCUGUUCUGAAUAAUUAGAUUAUCAGAGGGCAAAAGACGUUUUGUUGGGUAUUAACACAAGGAAAGAGGACUGAUUUGACAGAGUAAGUUUCUUAAGUCAGCCAAAUGCCAAUUUUAUUCAGAAAAUAAAUUUACAGUUGAAGAAAUAGUGCUCAUAAAUUAGUAUGUAGUGAACUUCCUGUCACAUUCUUUUCCUACUAGUAUUUUUUAAUCACUCACAAUAAAUAUUUUGUUAUAUCCCAAACACAGAAAACCCCAUCAUUAAUACAUAUAUGUGAACAUCUCCCUAACCAAGGAACCAUCAACAUAAGCAAACUUGGGCUCUCAUAUGCAAACACUUUGGGGGAAAAAAUCACCUAUACAAGUAGCAUUAUCAAAAUAUUUUAAAGUGUAAGGAUCAAAAAAUGAUAACUUUUGAACUUGGAUGCUGGGGACUCUGGUUCAUCAUACUAGUCUUCCCUGGAAAUAAGCUUGUUUCUGGCUAGUUUGUGGUAUUUAUUUGUCCUUAAGAUGUCAUUUUAAAAAUGUGUUCUGAGGUGUUAUUAUCUAUGUUGGAUAUGCCACAGCUAAGUCAAGUUUCUCAAA